Non-coding RNA from Trichonephila inaurata madagascariensis, 86 nucleotides. The record is from the annotation of a GenBank genome assembly. Lineage: Eukaryota; Metazoa; Arthropoda; Arachnida; Araneae; Nephilidae.
GCGGUUGUGGCUGAGUGGUUAAGGCGUUGGGUUACAACCCCAAGGGGGCUAUUAUCCCCGCGUAGGUUCGAAUCCUACCAACCGCA